RNAcentral lists this ribosomal RNA (729 nucleotides) under uncultured eukaryote. RNAcentral describes it as "SSU rRNA". It matches the Rfam family "Eukaryotic small subunit ribosomal RNA", at positions 670 to 1426 of the family's 1831-position model. The record is from RNAcentral.
CGCGUGCACUGGUUCGGCCGGGCCUUUCCCUCUGGGGAACCGCAUGCCCUUCACUGGGUGUGUCGGGGAACCAGGACUUUUACUUUGAACAAAUUAGAUCGCUUAAAGAAGGCCUAUGCUCGAAUACAUUAGCAUGGAAUAAUAGAAUAGGACGUGUGGUUCUAUUUUGUUGGUUUCUAGGACCGCCGUAAUGAUUAAUAGGGACAGUCGGGGGCAUCAGUAUUCAAUUGUCAGAGGUGAAAUUCUUGGAUUUAUUGAAGACUAACUACUGCGAAAGCAUUUGCCAAGGAUGUUUUCAUUAAUCAGGAACGAAAGUUAGGGGAUCGAAGACGAUCAGAUACCGUCGUAGUCUUAACCAUAAACUAUGCCGACUAGGGAUCGGACGAUGUUAUAUUUUGACUCGUUCGGCACCUUACACGAAAGUAAAGUUUCUGGGUUCUGGGGGGAGUAUGGUCGCAAGGCUGAAACUUAAAGAAAUUGACGGAAGGGCACCACCAGGGGUGGAGCCUGCGGCUUAAUUUGACUCAACACGGGGAAACUCACCAGGUCCAGACACAAGUAGGAUUGACAGAUUGAGAGCUCUUUCUUGAUUUUGUGGGUGGUGGUGCAUGGCCGUUCUUAGUUGGUGGAGUGAUUUGUCUGCUUAAUUGCGAUAACGAACGAGACCUUAACCUGCUAAAUAGCCCGUAUUGCUUUGGCAGUACGCUGGCUUCUUAGAGGGACUAUCGG